RNAcentral lists this unclassified non-coding RNA (227 nucleotides) under Melitaea cinxia (Glanville fritillary). Its description in RNAcentral is "misc RNA ENSMCXG00005019286.1". Lineage: Eukaryota; Metazoa; Arthropoda; Insecta; Lepidoptera; Nymphalidae. The record is from RNAcentral.
UUUUUAUGUAUGUUACAUCAGAACUUUUGACUGGGUAGACCGAUUUCGACAAAUUUUGUUUUAAUCGAAAGGUUUUGUGUGCCAAUUGGUCCCAUUUAAAUUUAUUUGAGAUCUAACAACUACUUUUCGAGUUAUAUCUAAUAAUGCGUUUUUACUUGACGCUUUUUUCGUCGACCUACGUUGUAUUAUACCACAUAACUUUCUACUGGAUGUACCGAUUUUAAUAA